UACUGGACAAUGGGGGGAACCCUGAUCCAGCGACGCCGCGUGUGUGAAGAAGUAUUUCGGUAUGUAAAGCUCUAUCAGUAGGGAAGAAAGAAAUGACGGUACCUGACUAAGAAGCCCCGGCUAACUACGUGCCAGCAGCAGCGGUAAUACGUAGGGGGCAAGCGUUAUCCGGAUUUACUGGGUGUAAAGGGAGCGUAGACGGCGAUGCAAGUCCGAAGUGAAAGGCGGGGGCUCAACCCCCGGACUGCUUUGGAAACUGUAUGGCUGGAGUGCAGGAGAGGUAAGUGGAAUUCCUAGUGUAGCGGUGAAAUGCGUAGAUAUUAGGAGGAACACCAGUGGCGAAGGCGGCUUACUGGACUGUAACUGACGUUGAGGCUCGAAAGCGUGGGGAGCAAACAGG
This 400-nucleotide ribosomal RNA is filed under the name uncultured bacterium. RNAcentral's name for it is "bacterial SSU rRNA". It matches the Rfam family "Bacterial small subunit ribosomal RNA", at positions 362 to 776 of the family's 1533-position model. The record is from RNAcentral.